RNAcentral lists this ribosomal RNA (910 nucleotides) under Sanguinoderma rugosum. RNAcentral's name for it is "partial 28S ribosomal RNA". It matches the Rfam family "Eukaryotic large subunit ribosomal RNA", at positions 53 to 950 of the family's 3401-position model. Lineage: Eukaryota; Fungi; Basidiomycota; Agaricomycetes; Polyporales; Polyporaceae. The record is from RNAcentral.
GAGGAAAAGAAACUAACAAGGAUUCCCCUAGUAACUGCGAGUGAAGCGGGAAAAGCUCAAAUUUAAAAUCUGGCGGUCUUUGGCCGUCCGAGUUGUAGUCUGGAGAAGUGCUUUCCGCGCUGGACCGUGUAUAAGUCUCUUGGAACAGAGCGUCAUAGAGGGUGAGAAUCCCGUCUUUGACACGGACUACCAGUGCUUUGUGAUGCGCUCUCAAAGAGUCGAGUUGUUUGGGAAUGCAGCUCAAAAUGGGUGGUGAAUUCCAUCUAAAGCUAAAUAUUGGCGAGAGACCGAUAGCGAACAAGUACCGUGAGGGAAAGAUGAAAAGCACUUUGGAAAGAGAGUUAAACAGUACGUGAAAUUGCUGAAAGGGAAACGCUUGAAGUCAGUCGCGUUGUCUGGGACUCAGCCUUGCUUUUGCUUGGUGCACUUUCCGGAUGACGGGCCAGCAUCGAUUUUGACCGUCGGAAAAGGGCUAGGGUAAUGUGGCACCUCCGGGUGUGUUAUAGACUUUAGUCGCAUACGGCGGUCGGGAUCGAGGAACGCAGCGCGCCGUAAGGCAGGGGUUCGCCCACUUUCGCGCUUAGGAUGCUGGCGUAAUGGCUUUAAACGACCCGUCUUGAAACACGGACCAAGGAGUCUAACAUACCUGCGAGUGUUUGGGUGGAAAACCCGAGCGCGUAAUGAAAGUGAAAGUUGAGACCUCUGUCGUGGAGGGCAUCGACGCCCGGACCUGACGUUCUCUGACGGAUCCGCGGUAGAGCAUGUAUGUUGGGACCCGAAAGAUGGUGAACUAUGCCUGAAUAGGGUGAAGCCAGAGGAAACUCUGGUGGAGGCUCGUAGCGAUUCUGACGUGCAAAUCGAUCGUCAAAUUUGGGUAUAGGGGCGAAAGACUAAUCGAACCAUCUAGUAG